AAUUCGCACUCCUAUUGCUUGUAGUCACUUGCAAUCGGCCUCCGGCGGCACCCGUGACCCGGUUCGACCUGAACUCUCGCGCAACCACCCGAACAGCCUCCAAUCCACCAUCCAAAAAUUAAAGGUCUGCGAUUAGUUGUCACGAGCUCACGAUUCCGUUUCAUGAUUUUAGGACGUCGCCUCGGCCCUCCAGGCAGAAACGAAACUUUAACGGUCUGUUUCUUCAAUAACUCUUCAAUAACUUUGCGUAGGCUCGACGAAUCGCCGAACCGACUUCACCAACGCGUUCGUAUACCUAGCAAU
RNAcentral lists this long non-coding RNA (303 nucleotides) under Ananas comosus (pineapple). RNAcentral's name for it is "long non-coding RNA (ACOM_LNC036656)". Lineage: Eukaryota; Viridiplantae; Streptophyta; Magnoliopsida; Poales; Bromeliaceae. The record is from RNAcentral.